GACGAACGCUGGCGGCGUGCUUAACACAUGCAAGUCGAACGGAAAGGCCCUGCUUUUGUGGGGUGCUCGAGUGGCGAACGGGUGAGUAACACGUGAGUAACCUGCCCUUGACUUUGGGAUAACUUCAGGAAACUGGGGCUAAUACCGGAUAGGAGCUCCUGCUGCAUGGUGGGGUUGGAAAGUUUCGGCGGUUGGGGAUGGACUCGCGGCUUAUCAGCUUGUUGGUGGGGUAGUGGCUUACCAAGGCUUUGACGGGUAGCCGGCCUGAGAGGGUGACCGGCCACAUUGGGACUGAGAUACGGCCCAGACUCCUACGGGAGGCAGCAGUGGGGAAUAUUGCACAAUGGGCGGAAGCCUGAUGCAGCAAUGCCGCGUGCGGGAUGACGGCCUUCGGGUUGUAAACCGCUUUCGCCUGUGACGAAGCGUGAGUGGCGGUAAUGGGUAAAGAAGCACCGGCUAACUACGUG
Molecule: ribosomal RNA, 467 nt
Filed under: uncultured bacterium
Lineage: Bacteria
Description: partial 16S ribosomal RNA
Rfam family: Bacterial small subunit ribosomal RNA
Source: RNAcentral